UUUGAUUGAAGAUUUAAGGUUUAUGUUUGUAAGUUAUAACUUAACAAUAAAACACUAAAUUUUAAGUUUAAUUUUAAUAUUAUAGGUUAUGGUCUGAAAAAAAUAGAGUUUUAAUUAUUAUUUUUUUUUGUAACACAAAUUAGAGUUUUAGUUAUGUUUUGAGUUUAGGGGUUAAAACAUACUUAGUGUUUUGGAGUUAAAUUUUAUAAUGAAGAUUAAAAAAAUAAAUUAUAAAGUUAUAAAGUUAUAAUUUUUUAAAGUUUGAUAAUUACAAAUGUUCAUUUUGAAAUCUACUAUAAGUGUUGGAUGUUGAAAUUUAAGGCAUGUUUAGGGUUUAGAUGAGGUGAUUUUUUUUUUUCUAAUUUAUUAUCAGUAUUAGAUUUUCUUUUUAUCAUAUUACUAGUUGUGCUAUCUUAGGAUUUUAUGAUGAAAUAUUCACAAUUUAGGAUUUAGGGCAUGUUUAGGGUAUAGAAUUUGAAAUAAAAAAUUCUUUUUUUUUUCAAAUUUAUUAUUGUUGAAAUGUUAAUUGUCACAUAAAUUGUAGUGCAAAAUGUAAAUCAAAACAUUGCAAUUUGAUAUAUAUAUAAGAAAUUAUAUUUCAUUAAUUUUUCAAAACAUAAAUUAUUUCAUUUGCUAAGUCUAGGAACUUCAUCUACGAACCAAUGUCUCAACAAGCUUUAACAUAUCAAAAUUAAAAUCAAAGAAACCUAAAUCAUUCUUUGAAGUGAAUGCAAGUCUUUGUGGUCUUCCUCUCAUGGAAAGUUGCUUUGAGACUAACGCACUGCCAAUACAACAACACUAGAAGCAAGCACAAAGAAGAAAGUGAUCAUACAAUCCCCAACGUGUUCUUCUUCUCAAGUACAUUUGAAGUCAGGACAAACCGAGAGGAUGACGAUAAGAAUCCGAAUGCACGGUCGCAGCCUUCACAAUCUCAGCCCGACACCGAGACCCGGCAGUGAAGAUGCUCUGGAGCAAGGAUUCCAUUUUCUGUACUCUGGCACUCGCAACCCUUGAAGCUUCGUCACUCUGUACUCUGGCACUCGCAACCCUUGAAGCUUCGUCACUCAUCAGGCUCUACACCAUUCCAACUGAAUCAAUACCUAGCAGCCUUUAAGAUGGGUUCAGUCAUCUGAAACAAAUAUGAAACUUAAACUCAGUAAUAAGAGCUACGAUCAGAUUCAGAGAAAGACAAAUAAGAUCUCACCACAAGCUAUCAAACUGCAGUUUCAAUACAGUCCAGUCACAGCAAAAGGCGAUUCAGACACAAGACAAGCUCCUCAGAUGCAAGUAACUCACCAAACAGCAACAGGUCUUGUGUAUGAGAAUGCACUCUCGAAGAAAGAAGAAAUAAACAUGCAUACCUGAUAAUUAAGAGAAACAUAAGCUUUAAAAUUUGUUCAGACAUGAGCUUUAAAAUUGUUCUAAACUAAAGGAACGAACUUUGGCCAUCAUCAAUAAACCGAACAGCUUUACGCUCACGCUCCCUAACAUAAAAAAUCAGCAUAAACUAAUGCUUACAAUGAUACUAAAACUGUUUCUUAGACAGAGAUAUUCAUACAAAACAUAACUCAUUUUCUUGGGCAAGAUAUAUACGAUCCCAAACAUCCAUAGAAACAGAGACGAACACAAUGAAAAGCAAUGCCAAAUGCUUCGGCCUUUUGAGAUGAUACGCUGGAUUCAUAUAUCUACAUAGCCCAAAACCAGUUAUCCAUCUACCUCUUGCAAACAAAUCCAAAUUCCACUCAGAUACAAACAUCAUAAGCCUGAGACUGUGUUCAUGCUUAGAGGGUCAACACUCGAUUUUUUAAGCCAUCUUCAACACAAGAGCCAAAAGAAAAGAGUCUUAGCUCAGAAGCAACAGGUUACCCGAAAUUAAACUUCACAACAAUUUCCUUAAUCUCAUCGUCAAAACCAUCUUCAAACUCGGGUUGCUCUGGAAACAAAGAUCAGAAAUCACAAACCCUAGAAAAUCUCCUUGGAACCAGAAGCACCAGAAAUGUCUGAUUCUUCUACAAAAGAAACAGAGUAGCUAAAAGAAAAUGUGAGACCAAAUCUAAGGGAGAAAAACUAUGGAAAGCCUCAAAGAUUCAAGCUUUAGCUUAUAAACAUAAAAGAGAUGUUACCAGGCUUGCAGAAAGGCAGCCGAUGUUACCGUCACUGAAACUCCGUCAGCAUCUCCGCCGUGGCUCCGUCUCCUCCUCCGUUAAUACUCUUCAAUCCCUAGAUUUAGUUUCACUGAUUCGAUUUCAGUAAAUCGAUUAAAGGGAAACUUAGAGAAACAGAUGACCCAUAAUAGAUGAAGAUGGAUGAUGAAGAAGCUCGAUUGAAGCAAUGGAGAGAAGUUUAUUCUUUUUUGUCACGAAUGGAGAAGAAGAUAAAAUAGAGAAUGGAGGUUUUUUUUCUUCUGAAGAAAAAAAAAUGAAAAGACCUAGAGAAAAAAAAAUAGUUCUACUAAAACAAAAUAUUUUGGUGGCAAAAGUGAUAUUUUCACUAAGUAUUUGGCACCAAUGAAUUUUACAAGUAUAAAAAUUGGAUUUUUGUCUUCCCGCUUCGUAAAAAUCCUGCAAAAUACUAAGUAGCGUUGAUUUAAUGCUAUAAUAGAGUUAAACAUCCAAACUACCCAUUUUUAGUAGCAGUUUGUGAAUUCGUGCUACCGUGAUGUGCUAUCAAUACUUAUAUUUCUUGUAGUGUUAUUAGAGUAUACUAGCUGUUUCUGAUGAUACAGGUAUCUAAUAUCAUGUUUGGUUCCUGGGAGCUAUCCUGAAACAAAUUUUCAUCAUUUACAAACAUGUUUAGUUUGCAACACUCUCUUUAUUGUAAAAGUGUCCUGAAAAUUUCUUGAUAGGAUAUCAACAAUUCUUUAUUAAUUGGCUCAUUAUCUUUUAAAUUUCUAAUAUUUAGAAGUACUAUAAAUGAAAUAAAAAAAUCUGUUGCUGUUCUGAUUUGGUUCUUUGGUUUAAAAGUUUAGCAUCGGUUUGGAUAUUUAGAAAAUUCAGUUUGGUUUCGGUUCUCGGUUCGUUUUAGGUAACAAAGUUAGGAGCCAACUAAUAUCCAAAAUAAUUUGGAUCCUAUUAAGUUCUUGUUCGUUCCGGUUUUUUAGUUAAUUCAAGUAAAAAGUUAGAAAUUUAAGUUUUUUGAUUAAAUAUCAGAUUUUUUGUAUUUUUGGAUAAAAGUUUAGAUAAUUCGAAUAUUUUUUAAAAAUUCUGACAAAAAGUAUUAUGGUUAUUCAAUUUUUUGAGUAUUCCAGCUUAUAAAAAGUAUUUUUCAAUUAUUUUAUUAUUUUUAAAAUAAAUAUAGUUAAUAUUUAUAAGUGUAUAAAUUAUAUUAUAGAAAUUUUGGUAGUGAUUCGGUUCUUGAUUUGGUUUUAGUUUGGUUCCCGAUCAGCUCUGGUUUUCAAGAUAUAUGAUCUUUUUGGAUAAUUUGUAAGAUCUAAACUUGAACUUACUCACAGCUUCAGAAAGUGUUUGAGCAUGUGGUAAUUAAAUAAAAAUUUAUUACCGUUGUUUCAUCUAUAUGAUGUUUUGACGACUCUAACAUGUUCUGUGUAUAGUGAAACCGUCUUGUGUUUUUGCACAUCGUCCAAGUCCCUUCCACGCCCUCUUCCUCUAUCCCUUCCACUCGGUUACACUUGCCCUGUCUCCUGCUGCAGUGACCACGCAAUAGGGAAACCAUCACAUCAAGCGAUUAAACAAAAGUAAGACUUCUCUUAAUUUCUUGGGCAAGCAAGGCUCAACGGUUGCUUGUUCCAAAAGAGAGACAAAAUAGCCAAGGGAUAUAACACCAUCUACAUUGAUUUCUUUAGCUCCUCAUCGCUGUCAUUAGCUUCAUCACCCGUAGGCUCCCUGGCUAAUCAGAACAGAAAAUCAGGUUGACAAAGGAGUCCAGAAACAUGAACCAAGAACAUGGAAAGCAAAUAAUUAAUUAAAAGUUUUGUAUGUGUCUACACACAUUUUUGUAGCAACUUUUCUCUGAUUUGCUUCUUGUGAACCGGUAAUUUUUUCUACUUCUGCUACUUUAUAUUAUCCUUCUGAGCAUUCACUAAAUUUACCAACUGAGACGUACCUGUUGUAAUUGACCAUUCAAGAGCAAUGGUUCCUAUGAAACGUUGUAACCACUUCUAUGUAAUUGGGACCUGCAUUAAUUAAGGUGAAACCUCUGAUAUUAGCAAUAUGAGUUUUGGAGAGGUAUUAGAGAAGAACUAGAAGGGAGGAGACUUCUUCGAGGCAGGAUAAGAGGGGAUUUUUAUAACAAUAUAUCAACUAUUUUGAUGAAAAAAUAUAAACAAUUUAUCUCUUCCUUUACAGUUGAUCAAAGUUAUCUAGGCAAGGUCUAUAUUCGAUACUUCCCUCAGAGAAAGAUCUGCACUGAAAUAAGGAAUGGCUUUUAGAUUUCAAUAACCUUUUAUUGAGCUUUUCAAGAGCAUUUUUUUCUUUAUUUCACUGUGUAGAUGUCUGUUUUGUUCUUGCCGACUUACCAUCUAUCUUUUAUUAAUUCAAAUAUUUUUUUUGCUAUGUAUGUUAAUAUCAUAUAAAUGGAAAAAGAGCUUACAAGAAUAGUAGUCCUAAGAACAUACUUCCAAGGCAAAAAAGGUAAAAACAAGCAAAUAAUGUAGAAUUACCUUACAGAAAGAGAUUUACUAAACUAGCCAAUGAGACAGAAGAUUUUGGGACUUCCUUCGGUUCUUUGGCCCAAGGAUUAUACUCCGCACCUCUCAGUCAAUUAACCUGAACACAAUGUUCCGUGGGAUGAAGAUUAAUUUGAUUAUACACCAGCUUAUUCGCUGACGCCAUAUCCGAUGAAUAACAGAAUGAGUGAUGAUCUUCCUUAUAGUCGAAACUAUAGUUUUAUUGCAUGUAAAUGUUGAAGAAAUAUUUUUCAAGAGAUGGGAAACAUGAAACUAUAGUUAUAUUGCAUGCAAGCAGAUUGCCACUGAUGCGUACAUGAGUUGUCCAAACUGUGGCGGACCCGCUUGGUCAAAUGACUGACCCAUCAUAAACUUAAAAGAAAUUGUAUUUUUUAGAGGAAAUUACAUAUUUACCACUUUCAUGCUAUCACUUUUCAUUUAUACCACCAAUAAAGAGAAAUUUUCAAAAAUACCUUCUUCACUAAUUGGCAAAAGACUCUUAUGCCCAUGUUCUUUAUAUAUAUAAUAAAUAAAUAUUUAAAUAAAUAAAAAUCUAAAUAAAUAAAAAAUAAUUUUUUUAAAUUUUUUUCUGAAUUAUACUAUUUCGAAAUUCAAACCCUAAACCCUAAAACUCAACUCUAAACCCUAAACAAUCAAUCAUAAACCCUAUUUUUUCUGAAAUACGAACCCUAAACCCUAAACCAUCAAUCCUAACCCUAUUUUUUUUUAAAUAAACCCUGAAACAUCAACUCUAAACUCUAAACCCCGAAGCAUCAACUCUAAACCCUAAACCCUAAACCUUCAACUCUAAACCCUAAAGCAUCAACUCUAAACACUAAACCCUAAACCCUAAACCUUCAACUCUAAACCCAAAACCAUCAACACUAAACCCUAAACUAUCAACACUAAACCCUAAACCCUAAAAAGUAAACUCUAAACCCUAAACCCUAAAUAAUUAACCAUAAACCCUAAAACAUCAACUCUAAACCCUAAACCCUAAACCCUAAACCUUCAACUCUAAACCCUAAACACAUCAACUCUAAACCCUAAACCCUAAAUUUCAACUCUAAACCCUAAACCAUCAACACUAAACCCUAAACUAUCAACACUAAACCCUAAAUCCUAAAAAGUAAACUCUAAACCCUAAACCCUAAAAAAUUAACCCUAAGCCCUAAAACAUCAACUCUAAACCCUAAACCCUAAACCUUCAACUCUAAACCCUAAACCCUAAACCCUAAACCCUUAAACCCUAAAGUUGAUGUUUUACGGUUUAGAUUUGAAGAUUUAGGGUUUAGGGUUUACGUUUAGGGUUUAGAGUUAAUGUUUUAGGGUUUAGAUUUGAAGGUUUAGGGUUUAGGGUUCAAAUUUCAGAAAAUAUAAGGUUUAGGGUUUAGGAUUUACGCUUAGAGUUUAGAGUUGAUGUUUUAGGGUUUUGAUUUGAAGAUUUAGGGUUUAGAGUUGAUGUUUCAGGGUGUAGGGUUUAGAGUUGAUGUUUCAUGGUUUAGGGUUUAGAGUUGAUGAUUUAGGGUUUAAAGUUAAUGUUUUAAGUUUAGAUUUAGGGUUUAGGGUUUACGUUUAGGGUUUAUAGUUGAUGUUUUUGGGUUUAGAUUUGAAGUUUUAAGGUUUAGUUUAGGGUUUAGAGUUGAUGUUUUAGAGUUUAGAUUUGAAGUUUUAGGGUUUAGGGUUUAGAGUUGAUGUUUCGGGGUUUAGGGUUUAGAGUUGAUGUUUCAUGGUUUAGGGUUUAGAGUCGAUGAUUUAGGGUUUAGAGUUGAUGUUUUAAGUUUAGAUUAGUUAACCAUAUGUAUUUUUUUUGUGAAAGGUAAUCAAAAGGUUAUAAAUGU
Molecule: long non-coding RNA, 6465 nt
Filed under: Brassica napus (rape)
Lineage: Eukaryota; Viridiplantae; Streptophyta; Magnoliopsida; Brassicales; Brassicaceae
Description: long non-coding RNA (BNAP_LNC026372)
Source: RNAcentral